This 227-nucleotide long non-coding RNA is filed under the name Gossypium raimondii (Peruvian cotton). Its description in RNAcentral is "long non-coding RNA (GRAI_LNC005250)". The record is from RNAcentral. Lineage: Eukaryota; Viridiplantae; Streptophyta; Magnoliopsida; Malvales; Malvaceae.
UUUUUGUAAUUAAAAUAAGUUAUAAUAUUUGUGGAUUUUAAUUUGAUUGACAGCAGUGCAAUGAAGUGAGCAUAGAUAUUCCAGAAUGAGUGGACAAAGUGGAUUUUUUACAAAAUUAUUACAAAAAAAUAAAAAAAUAAUUAAAAUGUUAUCCCUUUUUCUUUAUUUACCAAAAUAUUAUAAAUUUUUUUUAUUUACCAAAAUAUACCAAAAAAAACAAAAACCUG